UUUUGGCAAACCUAUCGAAAGGUAGGGACGCAAAGCCAAGGGUCUAAACUUUCUCCGAAAGAACGAUAGCCGGUUGC
RNAcentral lists this non-coding RNA (77 nucleotides) under human gut metagenome. RNAcentral describes it as "Cyclic di-GMP-I riboswitch". It matches the Rfam family "c-di-GMP-I riboswitch aptamer", at positions 11 to 83 of the family's 87-position model. From Rfam's summary of the family: GEMM was predicted in a large-scale screen for bacterial structured RNA regulatory elements. Genes associated with GEMM are involved in a diverse array of functions, including chemotaxis regulation, signal transduction, secretion and chitin. The record is from RNAcentral.